UGCCAACAGGAAGCGGAAGUGAAGAAUGCAAGUGUCCGUAUCCCGGCUGCCACUUAGCAACGCGAAGAGGUCAGGUGACAGAACCAGCUGACUCCUGUAGAGGAGGACCCUGUGGCUGGGGCGAUUGCAGCCACGAUUACCCGGCCCAGACCCCUGCCGAACUAUCAUCGUCAGAAUGUCGGGCAAAGACCGUAUUGAAAUCUUUCCCUCGCGCAUGGCACAAACCAUCAUGAAGGCUCGGUUAAAAGGAGCACAGACAGGUCGAAACCUCCUGAAGAAAAAAUCUGAUGCCUUAACUCUUCGAUUUCGACAGAUCCUAAAGAAGAUAAUAGAGACGAAGAUGUUGAUGGGUGAAGUGAUGAGAGAAGCCGCCUUCUCACUCGCUGAGGCCAAGUUCACGGCAGGGGACUUCAGCACCACAGUUAUUCAAAAUGUAAAUAAAGCCCAAGUGAAGAUUCGAGCUAAGAAAGAUAAUGUAGCAGGUGUUACCUUGCCAGUGUUUGAACAUUACCAUGAAGGAACUGACAGUUAUGAACUGACUGGUUUAGCCAGAGGUGGGGAACAGUUGGCUAAAUUAAAGAGGAAUUAUGCCAAAGCAGUGGAAUUACUGGUGGAACUAGCUUCGCUUCAGACUUCCUUUGUUACGCUGGAUGAAGCUAUUAAGAUAACCAACAGGCGUGUAAAUGCCAUUGAACAUGUCAUCAUCCCCCGGAUCGAACGCACCCUUGCUUACAUCAUCACAGAGCUGGAUGAGCGAGAGCGAGAAGAGUUCUAUAGGUUAAAGAAAAUACAAGAGAAGAAAAAGAUUCUCAAGGAAAAAUCCGAGAAGGACUUGGAGCAGCGGAGGGCAGCUGGAGAGGUGAUGGAGCCUGCGAACCUUCUGGCUGAAGAGAAGGAUGAGGAUCUUCUGUUUGAAUAGUCUCCUGCUCUGGCUCUUUCAUAAGCCCUAACGUGGCACCAUUUUAAUUCACCGUGUGUAGGUUUGAUUUAAAACUUUGGGUAAAGGUAAGAUACAAGGCCUGUCCUGGAGGAGCUGAGUUUUAGGAAAUGCUGUUACAGUGAAUCUGAGCUUUUAUUCUGUAAGUAACUUUGGUAGUGAUGGGAAAACUAGUGAGUUCCUGAGUCUUGAAAAUAGGUAACAUUGACCUGCUUACAUUUAAUCCUCCCACCCCCGGAGUAAGGUGUAAAUCCUGUCCUCUCCAUUUUGCAGACGAAGAAACUGAAGCUUUGUCAGGGCAAAUAGGGCUGGAAUGUAGGCAUUUGUGCAUAAGCAGUACAUACUGCCUCUUGGAGGGUGCUUACAGAGAGCCAGAUUACUUAGGUUUUCAUUUAGGUAAAAUUUAAGUGUUCAUCUUAAAGUGCUGAUAGAGAAGAAUCUAGAUUUUUCCUGUGGCUUUUUAAAGCUCUAUUUUUUAUUGGCCUUGGCCAGACAUCCUACACAACUUCAGAUGAUCUUAUAGUUUUAGCAUAUUGAUGAACUAGAAAUUAAAAUAGUGAACAGUUUGUGGGGUGAUGUGAUCAAGAAUAGAAAGCCAGCUGGGUAGCAGGUACGUAUAUAUGUGACACUUUUUUGGGUAUGAUUUGCUUCCCUUGGGAGAUCCAGAGUGGCAGAGUAGAAAAGGGGAGAAAUGAGUGUUGUCUGUUUGAGGCUAGGGUGGGAAUUAACCAUAUCCUCCAAUCCUUGGCUGCACAGAAGUGAAAUUUGCCUAAGUAUUUUAUAACUUUUUCCCUAGAAGAUGUUGAAUUCAGUGUUAGGCUAUCUUUAAUUUUUUAAAACCAGGAGAUAGAACCUACAUAUGUGUCAAUAGGGGGUUCUCCCUAUUAAGUGAAAAGGUAUUUUACGUUUCACCCACAGAGUACAAUGAACUUAUUUCUGGCAAAAACGUGAAGACAGGGUGGUUAGGUGAGUUGAAGCCUUGGACAGCCGAGGACAUAAACACAACUUACUCUGGUUUUAUUUGAAAUAUAAUUUUACUUUUUGUUUUUACAAUACAGUGUGCAGUAUGACAACUCAAAAUAAGAGUGCAGAUACAAGGUCAUUUGAGAAGACCAAAGGGAGAAGACAAAUAGAACAUAAAUUUCAAUGAGAAAAAAAGAGAGAAGAGAAAAAUCAAGAGCACUUAACUCUGGCUCCCCACAUAUGUGGAGUAUCUGCAGAGAAAAGUGGGAAUCCCAAAGAAUAUGAGAAAUUUUUUUGGGGGGGUAGAAAGCACGGAGGUCACAUAACCUCCAAUGGAAAUAACACAGACCCAUGUUAAUGAAGAAGGUUAAGGAAUGCCAAAGGUAACCAUACAUUUGGGGUAGCAAUAGAGAAUGUGUGGAGAACAACAAGGGAAGGCCCCUCUUUUGGAAAGCAGCCACAGUCCAGCCAGAAGCAACAACAGCAAUUUUGGGGAAAGUGACACGGCCCAAAGAAUAAUCAAUUUGAAAGCUCAAGCUGAUGCAGCUCUUAAGCACCUGUAACACAUUAGGUCAUGACUCUUUCAUGUUUACUUUCAGUGGAACAGUACAACACUAAUAAUAACUUUACCUUUGGAUUCUUGCCCUCCUUGGCCAAUAAUGCACGAAGUCUCUCUUGUGAAGGGGGUGCAAUGAAGAUAAUAUAUGGUUUCAAGUCUGAAUUCCGGAGAGUCUUCAAUGACUAUUAAAAAAAGAUAUUUUGGAUCUUUAUAAUAAUUUUAAUCACUUAAUUGCUUCCCAGUAAUAUACUGUCAUUAAAAAAUGCCUAUGAAAGUUUCCAAACAUCUUUGUAACAAUUUACAAUAUUUUAAGAUUCUACUAUUCACUGUAAGAAUAUAUUAUGUACUUAUGUCACACACACACACACACACACAAUUAGCUUGCCCUGUUUACGUAAUGAAAUAAAAGUAAAUGACACUGAA
Molecule: RNA transcript, 2882 nt
Organism: Suricata suricatta (meerkat)
Lineage: Eukaryota; Metazoa; Chordata; Mammalia; Carnivora; Herpestidae
Gene: ATP6V1D
Gene name: ATPase H+ transporting V1 subunit D
Exons: 11
Source: RefSeq, a predicted model, not a curated record